UGGCCAAGCAUCACACUUUGUGUGCACAGAA
RNAcentral lists this non-coding RNA (31 nucleotides) under Mus musculus (house mouse). The record is from RNAcentral. Lineage: Eukaryota; Metazoa; Chordata; Mammalia; Rodentia; Muridae.